Molecule: transfer RNA, 53 nt
Filed under: Thyreophagus entomophagus
Lineage: Eukaryota; Metazoa; Arthropoda; Arachnida; Sarcoptiformes; Acaridae
Description: tRNA-Asp
Source: RNAcentral
AGGGUUGUAGUUAAAUUAAUAUAGUUUUGUCAUGGCUAAGAUUUUAGACUCUU